UGAGUACGAGACGCUAAGGCGUCGAAGUAGUGGAUGUCAUACUUCCAAGAAAAGCUUGCACUGUCAUAGAUAAAAAAUGCCUGUACCAUAACCGACACAGGUGGGUAAGUAGAGUAUACUAAGGGGCGCGAGAUAACUCUCUCUAAGGAACUCGGCAAAAUAACUCCGUAACUUCGGGAGAAGGAGUGCCUUAUUCUUAAGGUUGCAAUAACAAGAUCCAAGCAACUGUUUAUCAAAAACACAGGUCUCCGCUAAGUCGUAAGACGAUGUAUGGGGGCUGACGCCUGCCCAGUGCCAGAAGGUUAAAGAAGUCGGUUAGCAAUAGCAAAGCUGGUAACUGAAGCCCUGGUGAACGGCGGCCGUAACUAUAACGGUCCUAAGGUAGCGAAAUUCCUUGUCGGGUAAGUUCCGACCCGCACGAAAGGCGCAAUGAUUUGGAUGCUGUCUCGGAGAGGGGCUCGGUGAAAUAGACUUGUCUGUGAAGAUGCGGACUACCUGCACCAGGACAGAAAGACCCUAUGAAGCUUUACUGUAACUUGAAAUUGAAAUUGGACUUUAUUCGCGCAGUAUAGGUGGGAGGCGUUGAUUAUAAUCUUGUGGGAUUAUUGGAGCCAUCAGUGAGAUACCACUCUUGUAAUGUUAGAUUUCUAACUUUGAAUCAUCAUCUGGUCAAAGGACAGUUUCAGGCGGGCAGUUUGACUGGGGCGGUCGCCUCCUAAACGGUAACGGAGGCGUACAAAGGUUUCCUCUGAACGGUUAGAAAUCGUAUCUAGAGUGUAAAGGCAUAAGGAAGCUUGACUGUGAGACCUACAAGUCGAGCAGGGACGAAAGUCGGUCUUAGUGAUCUGACGGUACUGAGUGGAAAGGCCGUCACUCAACGGAUAAAAGUUACUCUAGGAUAACAGGCUGAUCUCCCCCAAGAGUUCACAUCGACGGGGAGGUUUGGCACCUCGAUGUCGGCUCAUCGCAUCCUGGGGCGGUAGUACGUCCCAAGGGUUGGGCUGUUCGCCCAUGAAAGCGGUACGCGAGCUGGGUUCAGAACGUCGUGAGACAGUUCGGUCCAUAUCCGGUGUAGGCGCUAGAAUAUUGAGAGGAGCCUUCUUUAGUACGAGAGGACCGAGAAGGACAUACCUCUGGUGUACCAGUUAUCGUGCCAACGGUAAACGCUGGGUAGCUAUGUAUGGAGUGGAUAACCGCUGAAAGCAUCUAAGUGGGAAGCCCACCUCAAGAUAAGUAUUCUC
This 1241-nucleotide ribosomal RNA is filed under the name metagenome. RNAcentral describes it as "bacterial LSU rRNA". It matches the Rfam family "Bacterial large subunit ribosomal RNA", at positions 1564 to 2815 of the family's 2925-position model. The record is from RNAcentral.